Molecule: ribosomal RNA, 1187 nt
Filed under: human gut metagenome
Description: bacterial SSU rRNA
Rfam family: Bacterial small subunit ribosomal RNA
Source: RNAcentral
GACACGGUCCAGACACCUACGGGUGGCAGCAGUCGAGAAUCAUUCACAAUGGGGGAAACCCUGAUGGUGUGACGCCGCGUGGGGGAAUGAAGGUCUUCGGAUUGUAAACCCCUGUCAUGUGGGAGCAAAUUAAAAAGAUAGUACCACAAGAGGAAGAGACGGCUAACUCUGUGCCAGCAGCCGCGGUAAUACAGAGGUCUCAAGCGUUGUUCGGAAUCACUGGGCGUAAAGCGUGCGUAGGCUGUUUCGUAAGUCGUGUGUGAAAGGCGCGGGCUCAACCCGCGGACGGCACAUGAUACUGCGAGACUAGAGUAAUGGAGGGGGAACCGGAAUUCUCGGUGUAGCAGUGAAAUGCGUAGAUAUCGAGAGGAACACUCGUGGCGAAGGCGGGUUCCUGGACAUUAACUGACGCUGAGGCACGAAGGCCAGGGGAGCGAAAGGGAUUAGAUACCCCUGUAGUCCUGGCAGUAAACGGUGCACGCUUGGUGUGCGGGGAAUCGACCCCCUGCGUGCCGGAGCUAACGCGUUAAGCGUGCCGCCUGGGGAGUACGGUCGCAAGAUUAAAACUCAAAGAAAUUGACGGGGACCCGCACAAGCGGUGGAGUAUGUGGCUUAAUUCGAUGCAACGCGAAGAACCUUACCUGGGCUUGACAUGUAAUGAACAACAUGUGAAAGCAUGCGACUCUUCGGAGGCGUUACACAGGUGCUGCAUGGCCGUCGUCAGCUCGUGUCGUGAGAUGUUUGGUUAAGUCCAGCAACGAGCGCAACCCCUGUUGCCAGUUACCAGCACGUGAAGGUGGGGACUCUGGCGAGACUGCCCAGAUCAACUGGGAGGAAGGUGGGGACGACGUCAGGUCAGUAUGGCCCUUAUGCCCAGGGCUGCACACGUACUACAAUGCCCAGUACAGAGGGGGCCGAAGCCGCGAGGCGGAGGAAAUCCUGAAAACUGGGCCCAGUUCGGACUGUAGGCUGCAACCCGCCUACACGAAGCCGGAAUCGCUAGUAAUGGCGCAUCAGCUACGGCGCCGUGAAUACGUUCCCGGGUCUUGUACACACCGCCCGUCACAUCAUGGAAGCCGGUCGCACCCGAAGUAUCUGAAGCCAACCGCAAGGAGGCAGGGUCCUAAGGUGAGACUGGUAACUGGGAUGAAGUCGUAACAAGGUAGCCGUAGGGGAACCUGCGGCUG